AUUGGUCAGCUGGGUUCGGCGUGUGUUUGAAGGGUUACGCCCCUUACUACGCGUGGGUUGACACAGAUUCUGACUGAGAGUCACAGCCUCAGAGGCAACGUAAACAAGCGUUAUAUUUCUCUAUAAACGAUGGUGUCUGUACUGCCUUACCACUUCGAGCUCGAUCCAGAGAGUUCAGAAGGCCGUUACGAUAUAAACGAUCUCCGUCAAUGAAUGCGAUUGGAUUUAACUUUUUUAGGUGUCCUUAGCUCUGCCAGAAUGCUAAACGAAGACUAAAAUGUGUUGCAAAGACAUCCAAAAGGUUUUAAGGAGAAUGCAACAGGUUCCAGGGCCUCUUACCUGCGUGAUUCAUCAUCCAGGUUUUGCACAAAUUGUCUAAAUCCCUACACCCAGAACAUUUAUUGUACCGACUAUAAGCCUUUGAGGCGCAGGACUAGAAUGCGCUUGGAGCUUCCUGAUCGGAAUGUUGGCUUCCGACGACCCCUGCACUGAAGAUGGCAUGCAAUCACGUCCUCCUUUGAAGGUCUCUCAAACUGUGAUGCCAGGUCCAUUGGAAUCGGGGUUUCCUUCAGCUUAUC
Molecule: non-coding RNA, 578 nt
Organism: Paramisgurnus dabryanus
Lineage: Eukaryota; Metazoa; Chordata; Actinopteri; Cypriniformes; Cobitidae
Source: RefSeq, a predicted model, not a curated record